UCACUCUUGUUUCUCUUCAGCUUGUAUAAAUCUUUUGCCAUUUACUAAAGAUUUUUGUGGGGAGGAACAAUAAGUGUCUGUCUCACUUUUUCUUUAUGCUCUGUGAAAGCAGAACU
This is a small nuclear RNA of Phycodurus eques (leafy seadragon), 116 nucleotides long. RefSeq annotates it as U5 spliceosomal RNA. The transcript has a single exon. The record is from RefSeq and is a predicted model, not a curated record. NCBI's taxonomy places the organism in Eukaryota, Metazoa, Chordata, Actinopteri, Syngnathiformes, Syngnathidae.